UUGAACGCUGGCGGCAUGCCUUACACAUGCAAGUCGAACGGCAGGCACGGGAGCAAUCCUGGUGGCGAGUGGCGAACGGGUGAGUAAUAUAUCGGAACGUGCCCAGUCGUGGGGGAUAACGUAGCGAAAGCUACGCUAAUACCGCAUACGAUCUAUGGAUGAAAGCGGGGGAUCGCAAGACCUCGCGCGAUUGGAGCGGCCGAUAUCAGAUUAGGUAGUUGGUGAGGUAAAGGCUCACCAAGCCGACGAUCUGUAGCUGGUCUGAGAGGACGACCAGCCACACUGGGACUGAGACACGGCCCAGACUCCUACGGGAGGCAGCAGUGGGGAAUUUUGGACAAUGGGCGCAAGCCUGAUCCAGCAAUGCCGCGUGCAGGAUGAAGGCCUUCGGGUUGUAAACUGCUUUUGUACGGAACGAAACGGUGAGCUCUAAUACAGUUUGCUGAUGACGGUACCGUAAGAAUAAGCACCGGCUAACUACGUG
RNAcentral lists this ribosomal RNA (484 nucleotides) under uncultured bacterium. RNAcentral's name for it is "bacterial SSU rRNA". It matches the Rfam family "Bacterial small subunit ribosomal RNA", at positions 30 to 507 of the family's 1533-position model. The record is from RNAcentral.